This 452-nucleotide ribosomal RNA is filed under the name uncultured bacterium. Its description in RNAcentral is "bacterial SSU rRNA". It matches the Rfam family "Bacterial small subunit ribosomal RNA", at positions 343 to 794 of the family's 1533-position model. The record is from RNAcentral.
CGGAGGCAGCAGUGGGGAAUCUUGCGCAAUGGCCGAAAGGCUGACGCAGCGACGCCGCGUGUGGGAGGAAGCUCUUCGGGGUGUAAACCACUGUUGCCCGGGACGAACACUUGGUUUCGACCAAGCUGACGGUACCGGGUGAGGAAGCACCGGCUAACUCUGUGCCAGCAGCCGCGGUAAUACAGAGGGUGCGAGCGUUGUCCGGAAUCACUGGGCGUAAAGGGCGCGUAGGUGGUGGCUUAAGCGUGCGGUGAAAGCUCGGAGCUCAACUCCGAGUCGGCCGUGCGAACUGGGCUCACUGGAGCAUAGUAGAGGCAGGUGGAAUUCCGGGUGUAGCGGUGGAAUGCGUAGAGAUCCGGAAGAACACCGGUGGCGAAGGCGGCCUGCUGGGCUAUGGCUGACACUGAGGCGCGACAGCGUGGGGAGCAAACAGGAUUAGAUACCCCGGUAGC